This 388-nucleotide ribosomal RNA is filed under the name Karenia sp. (in: dinoflagellates). RNAcentral describes it as "Karenia sp. (in: Dinophyceae) partial small subunit ribosomal RNA". It matches the Rfam family "Eukaryotic small subunit ribosomal RNA", at positions 582 to 975 of the family's 1831-position model. The record is from RNAcentral. Lineage: Eukaryota; Dinophyceae; Gymnodiniales; Kareniaceae.
AUUCCAGCUCCAAUAGCGUAUAUUAAAGUUGUUGCGGUUAAAAAGCUCGUAGUUGGAUUUCUGCCGAGGACGACCGGUCCGCCCUCUGGGUGAGCAUCUGGCUCGGCCUGGGCAUCCUCUUGGAGAACGUAGCUGCACUUGACUGUGUGGGGCGGUAUCCAGGACUUUUACUUUGAGGAAAUUAGAGUGUUUCAAGCAGGCAUACGCCUUGAAUACAUUAGCAUGGAAUAAUAAGAUAGGAUCUUGGUACUAUUUUGUUGGUUUGCGUGUCGAGAUAAUGAUGAAUAGGGACAGUUGGGGAUAUUUGUAUUCCAUAGUCAGAGGUGAAAUUCUUGGAUUUAUGGAAGACAAACUAAUGCGAAAGCAUCUACCAAGGAUGUUUUCAUCG